RNAcentral lists this ribosomal RNA (1709 nucleotides) under Salmonella enterica subsp. enterica serovar Infantis. Its description in RNAcentral is "bacterial LSU rRNA". It matches the Rfam family "Bacterial large subunit ribosomal RNA", at positions 1223 to 2909 of the family's 2925-position model. The record is from RNAcentral. Lineage: Bacteria; Pseudomonadati; Pseudomonadota; Gammaproteobacteria; Enterobacterales; Enterobacteriaceae.
GUUGGGUAGGGGAGCGUUCUGUAAGCCUGCGAAGGUGGCCUGUGAGGGUUGCUGGAGGUAUCAGAAGUGCGAAUGCUGACAUAAGUAACGAUAAAGCGGGUGAAAAGCCCGCUCGCCGGAAGACCAAGGGUUCCUGUCCAACGUUAAUCGGGGCAGGGUGAGUCGACCCCUAAGGCGAGGCCGAAAGGCGUAGUCGAUGGGAAACGGGUUAAUAUUCCCGUACUUGGUGUUACUGCGAAGGGGGGACGGAGAAGGCUAUGUUGGCCGGGCGACGGUUGUCCCGGUUUAAGCGUGUAGGUGUGUGUUCCAGGUAAAUCCGGUUCACUUUAACACUGAGGCGUGAUGACGAGGCACUACGGUGCUGAAGCAACAAAUGCCCUGCUUCCAGGAAAAGCCUCUAAGCAUCAGGUAACAUCAAAUCGUACCCCAAACCGACACAGGUGGUCAGGUAGAGAAUACCAAGGCGCUUGAGAGAACUCGGGUGAAGGAACUAGGCAAAAUGGUGCCGUAACUUCGGGAGAAGGCACGCUGACACGUAGGUGAAGUGAUUUACUCAUGGAGCUGAAGUCAGUCGAAGAUACCAGCUGGCUGCAACUGUUUAUUAAAAACACAGCACUGUGCAAACACGAAAGUGGACGUAUACGGUGUGACGCCUGCCCGGUGCCGGAAGGUUAAUUGAUGGGGUCAGCGCAAGCGAAGCUCCUGAUCGAAGCCCCGGUAAACGGCGGCCGUAACUAUAACGGUCCUAAGGUAGCGAAAUUCCUUGUCGGGUAAGUUCCGACCUGCACGAAUGGCGUAAUGAUGGCCAGGCUGUCUCCACCCGAGACUCAGUGAAAUUGAACUCGCUGUGAAGAUGCAGUGUACCCGCGGCAAGACGGAAAGACCCCGUGAACCUUUACUAUAGCUUGACACUGAACAUUGAGCCUUGAUGUGUAGGAUAGGUGGGAGGCUUUGAAGCGUGGACGCCAGUCUGCGUGGAGCCGACCUUGAAAUACCACCCUUUAAUGUUUGAUGUUCUAACGUGGACCCGUGAUCCGGGUUGCGGACAGUGUCUGGUGGGUAGUUUGACUGGGGCGGUCUCCUCCUAAAGAGUAACGGAGGAGCACGAAGGUUGGCUAAUCCUGGUCGGACAUCAGGAGGUUAGUGCAAUGGCAUAAGCCAGCUUGACUGCGAGCGUGACGGCGCGAGCAGGUGCGAAAGCAGGUCAUAGUGAUCCGGUGGUUCUGAAUGGAAGGGCCAUCGCUCAACGGAUAAAAGGUACUCCGGGGAUAACAGGCUGAUACCGCCCAAGAGUUCAUAUCGACGGCGGUGUUUGGCACCUCGAUGUCGGCUCAUCACAUCCUGGGGCUGAAGUAGGUCCCAAGGGUAUGGCUGUUCGCCAUUUAAAGUGGUACGCGAGCUGGGUUUAGAACGUCGUGAGACAGUUCGGUCCCUAUCUGCCGUGGGCGCUGGAGAACUGAGGGGGGCUGCUCCUAGUACGAGAGGACCGGAGUGGACGCAUCACUGGUGUUCGGGUUGUCAUGCCAAUGGCACUGCCCGGUAGCUAAAUGCGGAAGAGAUAAGUGCUGAAAGCAUCUAAGCACGAAACUUGCCCCGAGAUGAGUUCUCCCUGAGACUUAGAGUCUCCUGAAGGAACGUUGAAGACGACGACGUUGAUAGGCCGGGUGUGUAAGCGCAGCGAUGCGUUGAGCUAACCGGUACUAAUGAAC